CCCAUCCUCUUGGGCAGCGACAGGAGCGCCCCGUUAAUCCUAGGUCGUCCCGUCUUCCACACAAAUUUUAUCAUCGCCGUAUUCAGCGUCUGAAAGAAGGUCCUGGGUAUCAUGAUUGGAACGGUCUGGAAGAGGUAAAGAAGCCGCGGAAGAAGGUUUAGUUUUAAGGCAUUGAUUCUCCCGAACCAUGAAAUGCACAGGCC
This is a non-coding RNA of Pelobates cultripes (western spadefoot toad), 203 nucleotides long. Lineage: Eukaryota; Metazoa; Chordata; Amphibia; Anura; Pelobatidae. The record is from the annotation of a GenBank genome assembly.